RNAcentral lists this transfer RNA (57 nucleotides) under Rattus norvegicus (Norway rat). Lineage: Eukaryota; Metazoa; Chordata; Mammalia; Rodentia; Muridae. The record is from Rfam by way of RNAcentral.
UGGCUCAGUGGUUAGAGCACUGACUGCUCUUCCAGAGGUCCUGAGUUCAAUUCUCAG